GAGGGAAUAGCUCAGAGGUAGAGUUCAUGCUUAGCAUGCAUGAGGUCCUGGGUUCAAUCCCCAGUACUUCCC
RNAcentral lists this transfer RNA (72 nucleotides) under Camelus bactrianus (Bactrian camel). It matches the Rfam family "tRNA". From Rfam's summary of the family: Transfer RNA (tRNA) molecules are approximately 80 nucleotides in length. RNAcentral also lists the same sequence under 3 other names. The record is from Rfam by way of RNAcentral. Lineage: Eukaryota; Metazoa; Chordata; Mammalia; Artiodactyla; Camelidae.